Molecule: ribosomal RNA, 253 nt
Filed under: uncultured bacterium
Lineage: Bacteria
Description: partial 16S ribosomal RNA
Rfam family: Bacterial small subunit ribosomal RNA
Source: RNAcentral
GACAGAGGAUGCAAGCGUUAUCCGGAAUGAUUGGGCGUAAAGCGUCUGUAGGUGGUUUGACAAGUCUUCUGUCAAAGAUCAGGGCUUAACCCUGGGCAGGCAGGAGAAACUAUUAGGCUAGAGUUCGGAAGAGGCGAGUGGAAUUCCCGGUGUAGCGGUGAAAUGCGCAGAUAUCGGGAGGAACACCUAUGGCGAAGGCAGCUCGCUGGGACGUUACUGACGCUGAGACGCGAAAGCGUGGGGAGCAAACAGG